This 638-nucleotide ribosomal RNA is filed under the name uncultured bacterium. RNAcentral describes it as "bacterial SSU rRNA". It matches the Rfam family "Bacterial small subunit ribosomal RNA", at positions 125 to 747 of the family's 1533-position model. The record is from RNAcentral.
CCUGCCCAGAAGCGGGGGAUAACACCUGGAAACAGAUGCUAAUACCGCAUAACAACUUGGACCGCAUGGUCCGAGCUUGAAAGAUGGCUUCGGCUAUCACUUUUGGAUGGUCCCGCGGCGUAUUAGCUAGAUGGUGGGGUAACGGCUCACCAUGGCAAUGAUACGUAGCCGACCUGAGAGGGUAAUCGGCCACAUUGGGACUGAGACACGGCCCAAACUCCUACGGGAGGCAGCAGUAGGGAAUCUUCCACAAUGGACGAAAGUCUGAUGGAGCAACGCCGCGUGAGUGAAGAAGGGUUUCGGCUCGUAAAACUCUGUUGUUAAAGAAGAACAUAUCUGAGAGUAACUGUUCAGGUAUUGACGGUAUUUAACCAGAAAGCCACGGCUAACUACGUGCCAGCAGCCGCGGUAAUACGUAGGUGGCAAGCGUUGUCCGGAUUUAUUGGGCGUAAAGCGAGCGCAGGCGGUUUUUUAAGUCUGAUGUGAAAGCCUUCGGCUCAACCGAAGAAGUGCAUCGGAAACUGGGAAACUUGAUGCAGAAGAGGACAGUGGAACUCCAUGUGUAGCGGGUGAAAUGCGUAGAUAUAUGGAAGAACCACCAGUGGCGAAAGGCGGCUGUCUGGUCUGUAACUGACGCC